RNAcentral lists this ribosomal RNA (308 nucleotides) under uncultured bacterium. RNAcentral describes it as "bacterial SSU rRNA". It matches the Rfam family "Bacterial small subunit ribosomal RNA", at positions 28 to 334 of the family's 1533-position model. The record is from RNAcentral.
GACGAACGCUGGCGGCGUGCCUAACACAUGCAAGUCGAACGGAGCAGAUCCCGUUCGGGGGUUUGCUUAGUGGCGAACGGGUGAGUAACGCGUGAGGAACCUCCCUUUCAGUGGGGGACAACAGUUGGAAACGACUGCUAAUACCGCAUAAUGCUUUUGAGCGGCAUCGCUUGAAAGCCAAAGAUUUAUCGCUGAUAGAUGGGCAUGCGUUCCAUUAGAUAGUUGGUGAGGUAACGGCUCACCAAGUCUACGAUGGAUAGGGGUUCUGAGAGGAAGGUCCCCCACACUGGUACUGAGACACGGACCAG